GGGGAUUUAGCUCAGUGGCUAAGCAACUGCCUUGCAAGCAGAUAGUAGUGAGUUCAAUCCCCA
RNAcentral lists this transfer RNA (63 nucleotides) under Cavia porcellus (domestic guinea pig). It matches the Rfam family "tRNA". Rfam says of the family: Transfer RNA (tRNA) molecules are approximately 80 nucleotides in length. Their secondary structure includes four short double-helical elements and three loops (D, anti-codon, and T loops). Lineage: Eukaryota; Metazoa; Chordata; Mammalia; Rodentia; Caviidae. The record is from Rfam by way of RNAcentral.